UUAGGUAUUGUGGAUUUGAUUUCCGAGUGGCCACUCUAUAAGAAUGCCACCCUAGGACCGAAGCUGAUCGAAUGCGAUUUUCAUAUGAUGUUUAAAAAAACGAAUUUUUCUUUUUUUACACGUCCUCAAAAUUUUUAAUGACGAAAUAAAGGACAAAGUAUCCAGGGACCUCUUUGCUAAGCUUGAGUACAAAUCAAUAGAUGAAAAUUCAAGAAACUGCAUUAUAGCAUUAUUACUUAAUGCUGUAAUAACUCCUACUGCUAAAUACAAACAUAAUGGGAAGCUGAAAAAGGUGACCAUAAGUGAAGCCAUGAACAGCUUUAUUUUGCGCAUUUUGUCAACGUCAACUUUAGAGGAAGAAAUUUUAAAUAUGAGGCACCGUUUUGAGCGCCAAAAUUGUACAUUGCAGCCAAUAAUUGUUGUAGUAGGUGAAAGUUUAAUUAAAGUUACUGAAUUUUAUGUAUAUUGUGACGGACUGAAGUUCAAGUUUUCAUCCUCCGUUAAGAGCUUGGAUAUGUGCCUCAAAAUUUUUCAUGUUCUAAAUUUUCAAUACCCGAUUUAUUGUAAAGGCGUGUGGAAUUUCAUACAAACGUUUUUUUAUAAGAUUAAAACUCCAAAGUACGAAUAUUCACCAAAAAUAUCUGGCCUAGUUUCUCACUUAAAUACGCUUUUAAUAGAUAAUUAAUAGUUUAAUUAAAGAUGUUUCAUGUUUCGUGUACAGUAAAAAGUUAUGAAGUGUUAAGGAAAUCUUGAAACACUUCUAAGAUUUUCAUAAGUUAAAAAGCUAUGGAGUUUUUAAGUGUUGUCAAAAAAAUUGUUUUCAGCAUUUCUCAAGCAAAUACUCGUUUUCAAAACACUUAAAUUUACACCAUGAGAAGAAUGGAAACUUGAACUUUUAUAAUGAGCAUAAAAAUAACUUUGAAUUUUCCUUAGCAUCGCUGCCAAACUUUUCUGGAUCUGUAGAUAACAAUAAUGAAAAACUUAAAAUUGUUAAUUCUAACUUUGACUUUUCGAAUGAAAUUCAUAAAACUGCUAUGACCUUAACAUCUGAAUUGUACGCAAAAGAAAAUUUCCCACGUAAGGACGCUUUGGAUAUUCAAUCCAAAAUAACAAAUUUUUGUAAAAUAAUUGUUUCAAGUGUCACGACAUGUAUUUCAAAUCCUACACAGAUUUCAGAAAUUCAAAACAUCCUUCAAAUCAUCUCAAACCCUUCAAAAAAAUACAAACGGAACAUAAAUUUACACAAUAUUUAACUGAAAAUUAUAUGUUUGAACAAUUUUAUACACAUACUGUAAACAAUGAAAUAGCAGAAAAAAAUUGUUCAGGCCAUACAGUUUUAAAAGAGUUAAAAUCAGAGGCAUAUGUAUUUAAGUUAAGAUUUUGCAUAAGAAAAAUAUCUGAAAAUGACACACUUCUCACGGAUACAAUAAAAAUAUCGAAGUUUUGGAGAAAAGUGUUGAAAUCUAACAAAGCGUUGUAUGCACUUAAAGAAGAAAUAAGGCACUUAGAAGAGGAAGGAAUUCAAAUUAAUUGCAGUGGAAGUACUUACCAUGUAUAUUUCGUUUUAGGUUUAAUAUUAGGGGAUAAUUUAGGUCUAAAACCAUUCUUGGUUUUUCUUAAUCUUUCAGUCCAACAAAUACUGCCGUUUAUGUAGUAGAAGAAAAGAAGAUACGCAAACAGAUGCAAAAGAAUACAUAACAUUUUUAAGAAAUUAAGAUAACUAUAAAACUGACUUAGAAACGAAUAAUACAAAGGAAACAGGUAUUUCUGAAAACUUUUAAUUACUUCUAAACUUU
This is a long non-coding RNA of Rhagoletis zephyria (snowberry fruit fly), 1796 nucleotides long. RefSeq lists it as uncharacterized. The record is from RefSeq and is a predicted model, not a curated record. Lineage: Eukaryota; Metazoa; Arthropoda; Insecta; Diptera; Tephritidae.